CUUUCCUCUGUAAAUGCACUAAUACUAAAAGACCUAUUUCAGAUCAUUUUGGAGAACUACGCUUUCCCCGGGCACUGAUUCUCACACGCCCAACGGAGGUGGUCUUGGAGGCCUGUGCAUUGGUGUGGGUGGUGCCGAUGCUGUUGAUGUUAUGGCCGACAUUUCCUGGGAGCUGAAGUGCCCUAAGGUUUGUAAUGAAGAGUUUUAUCCUUGUAGUGACCAAUGGAUUAGGUGGCUCUGUAUCUCUUCAAACCUGGCUGUUAUGAUUAGCACGGAUUUGGCCUUUCUCUGCCUCUGUGGUGGAUAGUGGAGUGUUUCCCAUGUGGUAUUGGUGUGCUGGAUAUCCCUUCACUGGUAGCCUGGUAACAUACACUCCCAGGUCUUUCUCUGCCUCUGUGGUGGAUAGUGGAGCGUUUCCCAUGUGGUAUUGGUGUGCUGGAUAUCCCUUCACUGGUAGCCUGGUAACAUACACUCCCAGGUCUUUCUCUGCCUCUGUGGUGGAUAGUGGAGUGUUUCCCAUGUGGUAUUGGUGUGCUGAAUAUCCCUUCACUGGUAGCCUGGUAACAUACACUCCCAGGUCUUUCUCUGCCUCUGUGGUGGAUAGUGGAGUGUUUCCCAUGUGGUAUUGGUGUGCUGGAUCUCCCUUCACUGGUAGCCUGGUAACAUACACUCCCAGGUCUUUCUCUGCCUCUGUGGUGGAUAGUGGAGUGUUUCCCAUGUGGUAUUGGUGUGCUGGAUAUCCCUUCACUGGUAGCCUGGUAACAUACACUCCCAGGUCUUUCUCUGCCUCUGUGGUGGGUAGUGGAGUGCUUCACAUGUGGUAUU
Long non-coding RNA from Eriocheir sinensis (Chinese mitten crab), 825 nucleotides. RefSeq lists it as uncharacterized. NCBI's taxonomy places the organism in Eukaryota, Metazoa, Arthropoda, Malacostraca, Decapoda, Varunidae. The record is from RefSeq and is a predicted model, not a curated record. The transcript has 3 exons.